RNAcentral lists this ribosomal RNA (460 nucleotides) under uncultured bacterium. RNAcentral describes it as "partial 16S ribosomal RNA". It matches the Rfam family "Bacterial small subunit ribosomal RNA", at positions 338 to 795 of the family's 1533-position model. The record is from RNAcentral.
CCUACGGGGGGCUGCAGUGAGGAAUAUUGGUCAAUGGGCGCGAGCCUGAACCAGCCAAGUAGCGUGAAGGAUGACUGCCCUACGGGUUGUAAACUUCUUUUAUAAAGGAAUAAAGUGAGGCACGUGUGCCUUUUUGUAUGUACUUUAUGAAUAAGGAUCGGCUAACUCCGUGCCAGCAGCCGCGGUAAUACGGAGGAUCCGAGCGUUAUCCGGAUUUAUUGGGUUUAAAGGGAGCGUAGAUGGGUUGUUAAGUCAGUUGUGAAAGUUUGCGGGUCAACCGUAAAAUUGCAAUUGAUACUGGCAGCCUUGAGUACGGGUGAGGUAGGCGGAAUGCGUGGUGUAGCGGUGAAAUGCUUAGAUAUCACGAAGAACUCCGAUUGCGAAGGCAGCUUACUAGACUGCCACUGACAUUGAUGCUCGAAAGUGUGGGUAUCAAACAGGAUUAGAUACCCUGGUAGUC